This 231-nucleotide unclassified non-coding RNA is filed under the name Cladosporium delicatulum. RNAcentral describes it as "partial internal transcribed spacer region". The record is from RNAcentral. Lineage: Eukaryota; Fungi; Ascomycota; Dothideomycetes; Cladosporiales; Cladosporiaceae.
AAGUUGUAACAAGGUCUCUGUUGGUGAACUAGCAGAGGGAUCAUUACAAGUGACCCCGGUCUAACCACCGGGAUGUUCAUAACCCUUUGUUGUCCGACUCUGUUGCCUCCGGGGCGACCCUGCCUUCGGGCGGGGGCUCCGGGUGGACACUUCAAACUCUUGCGUAACUUUGCAGUCUGAGUAAACUUAAUUAAUAAAUUAAAACUUUUAACAACGGAUCUCUUGGUUCUG